UACGUAGGGACCAAGCGUUGUUCGGAUUUACUGGGCGUAAAGGGUGCGUAGGCGGCUUGUCAAGUCAGUUGUGAAAUCUCCGAGCUUAACUCGGAACGGUCAACUGAUACUGUCAUGCUAGAGUGCAGAAGGGGCAAUCGGAAUUCUUGGUGUAGCGGUGAAAUGCGUAGAUAUCAAGAGGAACACCUGAGGUGAAGACGGGUUGCUGGGCUGACACUGACGCUGAAGCACGAAAGCUAGGGGUAGCAAAACGGG
RNAcentral lists this ribosomal RNA (255 nucleotides) under uncultured bacterium. RNAcentral describes it as "partial 16S ribosomal RNA". It matches the Rfam family "Bacterial small subunit ribosomal RNA", at positions 524 to 777 of the family's 1533-position model. The record is from RNAcentral.